RNAcentral lists this ribosomal RNA (497 nucleotides) under uncultured bacterium. RNAcentral describes it as "partial 16S ribosomal RNA". It matches the Rfam family "Bacterial small subunit ribosomal RNA", at positions 28 to 507 of the family's 1533-position model. The record is from RNAcentral.
GAUGAACGCUGGCGGCGUGCCUAAUACAUGCAAGUCGAGCGAACAGACGAGGAGCUUGCUCCUCUGACGUUAGCGGCGGACGGGUGAGUAACACGUGGAUAACCUACCUAUAAGACUGGGAUAACUUCGGGAAACCGGAGCUAAUACCGGAUAAUAUAUUGAUCCGCAUGGUUCAAUAGUGAAAGACGGUUUUGCUGUCACUUAUAGAUGGAUCCGCGCCGCAUUAGCUAGUUGGUAAGGUAACGGCUUACCAAGGCAACGAUGCGUAGCCGACCUGAGAGGGUGAUCGGCCACACUGGAACUGAGACACGGUCCAGACUCCUACGGGAGGCAGCAGUAGGGAAUCUUCCGCAAUGGGCGAAAGCCUGACGGAGCAACGCCGCGUGAGUGAUGAAGGUCUUCGGAUCGUGAAACUCUGUUAUUAGGGAAGAACAAAUGUGUAAGUAACUAUGCACGUCUUGACGGUACCUAAUCAGAAAGCCACGGCUAACUACGUG